The sequence is a ribosomal RNA, 437 nucleotides long. It matches the Rfam family "Bacterial small subunit ribosomal RNA", at positions 341 to 792 of the family's 1533-position model.
ACGGAAGGCAGCAGUGGGGAAUAUUGGGCAAUGGGCGAAAGCCUGACCCAGCGACGCCGCGUGAGGGAAGAAGGUCUUCGGAUUGUAAACCUUAGUCAACAGGGAAGAAGCAAGUGACGGUACCUGUGGAGGAAGCCACGGCUAACUACGUGCCAGCAGCCGCGGUAAUACGUAGGUGGCGAGCGUUAUCCGGAUUUACUGGGUGUAAAGGGUGUGUAGGCGGGGAUGCAAGUCAGGUGUGAAAUCUAUGGGCUUAACCCAUAAACUGCACUUGAAACUGUAUCUCUUGAGUGUCGGAGAGGUAGAUGGAAUUCCUAGUGCAGCGGUGAAAUGCGUAGAUAUUAGGAGGAACACCAGUGGCGAAGGCGAUCUACUGGACGAUAACUGACGCUGAGGCGCGAAAGCGUGGGGAGCAAACAGGAUUAGAUACCCUGGUA